AGGACGAACGCUGGCGGCGUGCUUAACACAUGCAAGUCGAGCGGAAAGGCCCUUCGGGGUACUCGAGCGGCGAACGGGUGAGUAACACGUGAGUAACCUGCCCCUAGCUCUGGGAUAGCUCCGGGAAACCGGGAUUAAUACCGGAUACGACCACAGCCGACAUCUGCUGUGGUGGAAAGGAUUCCGGCUAAGGAUGGGCUCGCGGCCUAUCAGCUAGUUGGUGGAGUAACGGCCCACCAAGGCGACGACGGGUA
RNAcentral lists this ribosomal RNA (254 nucleotides) under uncultured bacterium. RNAcentral describes it as "partial small subunit ribosomal RNA". It matches the Rfam family "Bacterial small subunit ribosomal RNA", at positions 26 to 285 of the family's 1533-position model. The record is from RNAcentral.